GAUGAAGAACGAGCGAAAUGCGAUAAGUAAUGUGAAUUGCAGAAUUCAGUGAAUCAUCGAAUCUUUGAACGCACAUUGCGCCCCUUGGUAUUCCGAGGGGCAUGCCUGUUCGAGCGUCAUUAUAACCCCUCAAGCUCAGCUUGGUGUUGGGGCCUGCUGCACUGGCAGCCCUUAAAAUCAGUGGCGGCGCCAUCUGGCUCUAAGCGUAGUAAUUCUUCUCGCUAUGGAGUCCUGGUGGAUGCUUGCCAUCAACCCCCAAUUUUUCUAUGGUUGACCUCGGAUCAGGUAGGGAUACCCGCUGAACUUAAGCAUAUCAAUAAGCGGAGGA
This 328-nucleotide unclassified non-coding RNA is filed under the name soil metagenome. RNAcentral's name for it is "partial contains 5.8S ribosomal RNA, internal transcribed spacer 2, and large subunit ribosomal RNA". The stretch from base 1 to 119 matches the Rfam family "5.8S ribosomal RNA", at positions 35 to 154 of the family's 154-position model. The record is from RNAcentral.